UUAAAAGCCCAUCCGUUAAACCGAUUUAUAUGAAAUUUGAUACAGAGGUAGCUUGCAUACCGGAAAUUUACAUAGGUAAUUUUUCAU
This is a long non-coding RNA of Maniola jurtina (meadow brown), 87 nucleotides long. RefSeq lists it as uncharacterized. The transcript has 3 exons. The record is from RefSeq and is a predicted model, not a curated record. NCBI's taxonomy places the organism in Eukaryota, Metazoa, Arthropoda, Insecta, Lepidoptera, Nymphalidae.